UUUGUGACAAGUAACAGUCCAAACACAUUUUUCUGUGAUUUGUUUUAAUUUUACUUUCAACUUGUUUCUCGUUUCUUCCUCUUAAUUCACUAAUUAACCAAUUUUAUCACCAAGGCUAUCAACUUUUGGUCUUUAUCAUGUUGAAUUCCAAAGGAGUUCCAGCUGCACAAAAAGCACAAUCGACUAGUGCUAAAAGGAUUCAAAAAGAGCUUGCUGAAAUCACUCUUGAUCCUCCACCUAACUGUAGUGCUGGUCCAAAAGGUGACAAUAUCUAUGAAUGGGUGUCCACCAUUUUAGGGCCUCCAGGGUCAGUUUAUGAAGGUGGUAUUUUUUUCUUGGACAUCCUAUUCUCGCAAGAGUAUCCAUUUAAACCUCCAAAGGUUACGUUUCGAACUCGAAUAUAUCACUGUAAUAUAAACAGUCAAGGUGUUAUAUGCUUAGAUAUCCUGAAAGACAAUUGGAGCCCAGCUUUAACAAUUUCUAAAGUUCUUUUAUCCAUCUGUUCCCUGUUGACAGACUCUAAUCCUGCGGAUCCACUGGUUGGUAGCAUUGCUACUCAAUACUUACAACAUAGAGAGGAACAUGACCGAAUUGCAAGACUUUGGACUAAAAGAUAUGCCAUGUAACUGAGAUUCACAUGUGUGUCACACAACUCCUUGUGUCACAUUUAUCAACUUUUCCUAAACAUCACAUGGAAUUUCAUUUCUCAAUUUUACAUAUUGGCAUGAUUUGAACUUUGAUGUGCGUCUGAAUGGGAAUCAAUUUUGCUUGGUUAAUUUCAAGCAAUUUUAUGAUGAUUACUUUGCAUAAGCGGUCAGCUGAUAAAUCAUGAUGAUAAAUAAAAAAUGACCAUGAAUGAACCGGAAAAAUGAAAUCUAUCAACUAAACGAUGACCCAAACGAACCAAGAUAAGCAUUUAUAGCAUCUCAUUGAAAUGUAUUCAUUUAUUAACUCAUAUUGAAGCCAAUUAGUUAGAGUUAAAUUUAAAUAUCAAUUUGUCAAGUUCAAAAAUUGACCUCUAUUUGAUUCAAUUUGACCAAAUGAAUAAAUCUUGCCAAUGAAUAAUUUCUUACUAAAUCAUAUCCAUGAACUAGUUUGAUUGGUUGUUUUCAUUUUAACUCCAACUUCAUUAAGGUUAUCGUUAGUUUUAGUGUUUUGAUAAUUAUCACCAAAUAAUAGUUCAAUGAAUUGAACAAAUGUUAAAUUGACAAAAAGGUCUACUUUUUACACGAAUUAAACGAAUCCUUGAAUAAAAACGAAACUUUAACGGUCCAA
RNA transcript from Tetranychus urticae (two-spotted spider mite), 1275 nucleotides. It is a transcript of the gene named ubiquitin conjugating enzyme 2, with no coding region annotated. NCBI's taxonomy places the organism in Eukaryota, Metazoa, Arthropoda, Arachnida, Trombidiformes, Tetranychidae. The record is from RefSeq and is a predicted model, not a curated record.